GGUGUUUCCAGGCAUGGUGGUGGCUGAUGUAGUCGAACUCCUCGGCCACGCCCUGACGGCACCACGUUCGGUUGUCAAACAGAGCGACCAGAGACUCGUGCUGCGUCAGCUGAUGGGUAAUAUUUUAGCUGGCUUUCAGCUUCAGUGUUUUCAGCUGUCAGCAUCUUUAGUGGCCAAAUCCCGCUUACAGUAUUAGCGCUAGCAUUAUGACAGCCAUGAACUGCCCGAAACCCGGAGGGAAAGUGAGAGUGGAGAUCAGCAGGGUGACGAGAGCGGGAUACAUCAGACGUCUGACGGGAAGUGACGGGCUGUGGAGUCAUUAACGGCGGAGCGUGUCAAGCGGCUUCUGUCCACUUGAUUCUUUCAUCUAAAAAUACUGACGCUCCUCAUCAUGUGCAUGAAAUUGACAUAAUUCCUCCAUCGGACUUCUCUCAGUGAAACAUUGACGUGUUGACACAAAACGUGACUUGUGUGAAGAUGUGGGAGGGGCUUAUUUACAGCGCUUCUUUAAGUGCAAAAUAUUGUCUGUUAAUUUCACAUUUGCUGAUGUGGGAUAUGAGUUUGUUUCCUAAAAUAAGUGGUCGAAUGUUUAAAUAUUUC
Molecule: long non-coding RNA, 600 nt
Organism: Oryzias melastigma (Indian medaka)
Lineage: Eukaryota; Metazoa; Chordata; Actinopteri; Beloniformes; Adrianichthyidae
Exons: 3
Source: RefSeq, a predicted model, not a curated record